AGUGAACGCUGGCGGUAGGCCUAACACAUGCAAGUCGAACGGCAGCACAGUAAGAGCUUGCUCUUACGGGUGGCGAGUGGCGGACGGGUGAGGAAUACAUCGGAAUCUACUUUUUCGUGGGGGAUAACGUAGGGAAACUUACGCUAAUACCGCAUACGACCUACGGGUGAAAGCAGGGGAUCUUCGGACCUUGCGCGAUUGAAUGAGCCGAUGUCGGAUUAGCUAGUUGGCGGGGUAAAGGCCCACCAAGGCGACGAUCCGUAGCUGGUCUGAGAGGAUGAUCAGCCAAACUGGAACUGGGAACCGGGCCAGACUCCUACGGGAAGCAGGAGGGGGGAAUAUUGGACAAUGGGGGCAAGCCUGAUCCAGCCAUACCGGGUUGGUGAAAGAGGCCUUCGGGUUGGAAAACCCUUUUGGUGGGAAAGAAAAGCAGCAGGUUAAAACCCCGCUGUUCUGACGGUACCCAAAGAAUAAGCACCGGCUAACUUCGUG
RNAcentral lists this ribosomal RNA (492 nucleotides) under uncultured bacterium. Its description in RNAcentral is "partial 16S ribosomal RNA". It matches the Rfam family "Bacterial small subunit ribosomal RNA", at positions 29 to 507 of the family's 1533-position model. The record is from RNAcentral.